Molecule: long non-coding RNA, 1595 nt
Filed under: Gossypium barbadense (sea-island cotton)
Lineage: Eukaryota; Viridiplantae; Streptophyta; Magnoliopsida; Malvales; Malvaceae
Description: long non-coding RNA (GBAR_LNC003432)
Source: RNAcentral
UUGUUGCUUGACAAUGGGGUACAUAAAUAAUAAGGUUAUUGGGGAAUUAAUUUUAAGGAAAUAAAUUUGAAUCAUUUUAUUUCCUUUAAAAAAGAAUUUCGCACAAACCCUACAUUAUCUCGCGAAAAUUUUGUUUCCAAAGUUCAUCUUCUUAUUAUUUUAUUUUUUGACUACCUCCUUCAUCUGGGUUUCCCAUUUUUCUUCUUUUGCAGUUUUAGUAUACUCUUAACUGAGAGAUAUCACAACCUUUUGGUGGAAAAAAAUCAUCGGCUUAUAAAUAAGUCGUUCAACUGCUCUUUUUUUGCUUUGAAUUUGUUUACUUCAUAUGGCUAGGGCUAGGAUGGGUUGGGGUGGGGUGGCAGGCGUGGUGGUUGCAGUGGCCGAGGUCAUGGGUCUGGGGUUGAGAGUGAAGGUGGUGGCCGAAAGAAGCGCCGUGAGGCUUAUGUACCUAUAGAGGGCAACGUAUAUCGGUGUACAACAGAAAAGAAAGAGAUGAUUCGAUAUCUUGCUGUUUGGGGGAUCAAGUUGUCGAACUUUACUUUUGAUUUUGAUAUUGUCGAGGGUGAAAAAGGUUGAGUGAUACUAAAGAGGGUUUUAUGUUGCCUUUACAUCUAAAGGACGCAUGUUUCCAUUUCUUCUUCAUCCUUUUUUCUGUACUGUCUUUUAAGAGUAUAGAAUCGUACUGGGACAAGCUCCAACUUUUCUUAGUGGAAAUUGGUUGCAUACUUCAUUGAUUGCUGUCUUCGGGAUAAGCCUCCACUGCUGUCUGUUUUCCACAGAAUUGAUCGAUUGAAGGUUUCGAAUUUGGAAAACUCAUUGGGAAUGACAUAUUUUUGUCCCUGGGAAGGAUUUGAAUUGAUUAUCCGAAAUUGGUAAUCAAAUCUUUGGGUUAAUCGUUGUAAAUAUACAAGGGUGAAGCGAAAAUUUGGAGAUGACUUUGGUUUUCCUAUUAAAUGGUCCUUUCCAAGUACAGAUAUUUGUACACAACGCCAACCCCUUGAUUUCGAGCUCGUCACUACUCAAUAUGCGAGGCUAUGUAAGGGUCGUGUGCUGAAAUUAGAGGAUUUGCUAAUUUUGUGAAACAUUUGUCAUAUUACCAUCUGGAACUAGGUCGUAAUGGUUGUCGGGCAAUCGAUAUUAGGAACGACGCGAAUCCAGAUCUUAUGUUGCGUGCAGAGCUCGCCUAGUCCACAGUGCUUCUGAUGGUUUCGGGCUAAUUUUGUUAGGAAGAAAAAUGGAGUCUGUAAAUUUUUUAUAUCCCUAUUGUAAGUAGUGACCUCGCAAGUGGUCUUCCUUGUCUACCAGUGAUCAGGAAGGUUCUAAGAGCUCCCAUGCACUGGUAAGUGAUGUUGAUGGUAAUCUUGUUGGUGAUGCAAGCAUUGUUGGUGUUUGUGCUACAGAUUCAGAUUCAAGAGUGUAGUAGCCCGCUAGAAGAACUUAGGCACAUUAUGGAUAUAGUAUCUCUUAUGCAUGACUUGCGAGGUAGAAAAGACCUUGCUACUCUCGUUGGCGAAAUUAGCAAUAAGUAAACAAACGAGAGUACAAUAUGAAGAAAAUAAUCUAAAUGUACAACUUGUACAUUACCUAAAACCCCA